This 499-nucleotide ribosomal RNA is filed under the name uncultured bacterium. RNAcentral describes it as "partial 16S ribosomal RNA". It matches the Rfam family "Bacterial small subunit ribosomal RNA", at positions 28 to 507 of the family's 1533-position model. The record is from RNAcentral.
GACGAACGCUGGCGGCGUGCCUAAUACAUGCAAGUCGAGCGAAGUUUUUCUGGUGCUUGCACCGGAAAAACUUAGCGGCGAACGGGUGAGUAACACGUAAAGAACCUGCCUCAUAGACUGGGUCAACUAUUGGAAACGAUAGCUAAUACCGGAUAAUAGCAUUAACUGCAUGGUUGAUGUUUAAAAGUUGGUUUUGCUAACACUAUGAGAUGGCUUUGCGGUGCAUUAGCUAGUUGGUGGGGUAAAGGCCUACCAAGGCGACGAUGCAUAGCCGACCUGAGAGGGUGAUCGGCCACACUGGGACUGAGACACGGCCCAGACUCCUACGGGAGGCAGCAGUAGGGAAUCUUCCGCAAUGGGCGAAAGCCUGACGGAGCAACGCCGCGUGAGUGAAGAAGGAUUUCGGUUCGUAAAGCUCUGUUGUUAGGGAAGAAUGAUUGUGUAGUAACUAUACACAGUAGAGACGGUACCUAACCAGAAAGCCACGGCUAACUACGUG